CCCAAAAUAAUAUCUUAAGUAACUUGAAGAAUAUAUUUUCCCUCUCUUCCUUCUCUCUUGAAGAUCCAGUCAUUAGUUUCACUACUGAGAAAGUCAUAACUGUCAUGAUGACCAGGACUUCAAAGAAGCAAGACCUCUUACCUAGUUGCCUAUCUCUGACAGGGACUGGCAACAGACGCCUAGAAAAAUAUUGUGAUCUGCUGCCUGCUAUACUGUCCCAGUAGUUGGUCUUUGGCAGCCUAAUGACUUCCUGAGCCUGUGAUUAUAUUUGGACAAUGCUUAACAGCCACUGACACUUGUAAUGCACUUAAGCCCUUUUUCGAGCCUGCAAGGUUCACACUUUAUGUGUUCUCCUGGAGGAAGCAGAUCAGGCAGCAGAGAAAUCUACUUGUGAUUAACCCUUUCCAAGAUCACUGGAAUAUGCUUACCAGGAGCAGAAUAGAAAGGUGGAAAAACACAGCACUUCCCACAGUAUAGGGGGUAGCAUGCAGAAGAUAGAGGUGCACGAAGGUUGUAUCUCCAUUUGAGACAGUCUUAGGAGAGCAUUCCAAAGCACUGGGCUGCUGCUUAAUUGCUAGCACAAACGGUGAUACCACUUUGGUCUGUGCCAGCUAAUACUCUCUGAAACACUGCCUGAGCAGCAGUUCAGGGGAUAGAUAGUGUGGGCCAGACUAUCCCAAACAGGCAUUCAUAAGCUGAGGCCCUAGCCCCGAGCAUAGCUCCUUCUCUAUGCUUAGACACCUAAAUUAAAAGUAAAAGCACACAAGAAUGUUCUAGAGCCAUGGAACAUCACAAAGGAGAACUCAAGCCAGCUUUGUGCAACAUAGACAGUGUCAUUUGACCCAUAGCAUGGGAACAGUCCCUGCCCUUGAGUCACUUAGCGUCAUGAAUGUUUCCAGACAGAUAGGGAAGCUGAUGAGAAGAGAUGGAAGGACAUCCCCCGACAUCCUGGGAGAAAGUAGAGAGAGAAAUUUUUAUAUGAACUUGAGGAGUUAUGAAGAACUGAUUACACUUCAGAAAGUUAUUAUACUCCUGAACUCCAAAAGCAAGGUGACAGAUCUGUUACACUGCUAUCCUGCAGAUUCCAGAUGCCACCAUCACCUUUGACUUGAGAGUUGCAGCUGAGGCUUUUGGUGAGACAUCUAGGACAUCUGAGCAACAAGAUGUUGAAACUCGUCAUUUGAAGGCAGAAAGCAUGUGGGAUACAAAUCACCUCUGAUACACCCUUUGAUACCUUUUUCUAAUAAAUAUUAUGCACUUUUUAGUCA
This 1268-nucleotide long non-coding RNA is filed under the name Phasianus colchicus (ring-necked pheasant). Its description in RNAcentral is "lncRNA (ENSPCLG00000006936.1)". Lineage: Eukaryota; Metazoa; Chordata; Aves; Galliformes; Phasianidae. The record is from RNAcentral.